RNAcentral lists this ribosomal RNA (332 nucleotides) under uncultured Acidobacteriaceae bacterium. Its description in RNAcentral is "bacterial SSU rRNA". It matches the Rfam family "Bacterial small subunit ribosomal RNA", at positions 568 to 898 of the family's 1533-position model. The record is from RNAcentral. Lineage: Bacteria; Pseudomonadati; Acidobacteriota; Terriglobia; Terriglobales; Acidobacteriaceae.
CGCGCAGGCGGUUGGAUAAGAGAGUGGUGAAAACCCCGGGCUCAACCUGGGGCCGGCCAUUCAGACUGUCUGGCUGGAGUGUGGGAGAGGGAAGUGGAAUUCCUGGUGUAGCGGUGAAAUGCGUAGAUAUCAGGAGGAACACCGGUGGCGAAGGCGGCUUCCUGGACCACAACUGACGCUGAGGCGCGAAAGCCAGGGGAGCAAACAGGAUUAGAUACCCUGGUAGUCCUGGCUGUAAACGAUGGAUACUUGCUGUGGGGGGUAUUAAAUCCCUCUGUGGCGGAGCUAACGCGAUAAGUAUCCCGCCUGGGGAGUACGGUCGCAAGUCUGAA